Molecule: ribosomal RNA, 600 nt
Filed under: uncultured bacterium
Lineage: Bacteria
Description: bacterial SSU rRNA
Rfam family: Bacterial small subunit ribosomal RNA
Source: RNAcentral
CAGCCUAACACAUGCAAGUCGAGGGGUAACGAUGGAGACUUCGGUUUUCAGGCGACGACCGGCGAACGGGUGCGUAACGCGUAUGCAACCUACCCAUAACAGGGGGAUAGUCAAGAGAAAUUUUGAAUAAUAUCCCAUAGCACAUAUAAUUGGCAUCGAUUAUAUGUUAAAGCUCCGGCGGUUAUGGAUGGGCAUGCGUCCCAUUAGUUAGUUGGUAAGGUAACGGCUUACCAAGACGUUGAUGGUAGGGGUCCUGAGAGGGUAAUCCCCCACACUGGUACUGAGACACGGACCAGACUCCUACGGGAGGCAGCAGUGAGGAAUAUUGGGCAAUGGACGGGAGUCUGACCCAGCCAUGCCGCGUGCAGGAUGACUGCCUUAUGGGUUGUAAACUGCUUUUACGAGUGGAUAAACUAUCUUACGUGUAAGGUAUUGAAGGUAACUCGUGAAUAAGCAUCGGCUAACUCCGUGCCAGCAGCCGCGGUAAUACGGAGGAUGCGAGCGUUAUCCGGAUUUAUUGGGUUUAAAGGGUGCGCAGGCUGUUUGUUAAGUCAGAGGUGAAAUCCCGGGGCUCAACUCCGGAACUGCCUAUGAUACUGG